UAGGGAAUAUUGGGCAAUGGACGAAAGUCUGACCCAGCCAUGCCGCGUGCAGGAAGACGGCCUUCUGGGUUGUAAACUGCUUUUGAUCGGGAACAAAGAGCCCUUGCGAGGGAAGUUGAGUGUACCGAUAGAAUAAGCACCGGCUAACUCCGUGCCAGCAGCCGCGGUAAUACGGAGGGUGCAAGCGUUGUCCGGAUUUAUUGGGUUUAAAGGGUGCGUAGGCGGCUUUUUAAGUCAGUGGUGAAAUCCUGCAGCUUAACUGUAGAACAGCCAUUGAUACUGAAGAGCUUGAGUACAGACGAGGUAGGCGGAAUUUAUGGUGUAGCGGUGAAAUGCAUAGAUACCAUAAAGAACACCUAUUGCGAAGGCAGCUUACUAGGCUGUAACUGACGCUGAGGCACGAAAGCGUGGGGAUCAAACAGG
RNAcentral lists this ribosomal RNA (423 nucleotides) under uncultured bacterium. Its description in RNAcentral is "bacterial SSU rRNA". It matches the Rfam family "Bacterial small subunit ribosomal RNA", at positions 355 to 776 of the family's 1533-position model. The record is from RNAcentral.